CGGGGCGUGGCGCAGCUUGGUAGCGCACCUGAAUGGGGUUCAGGGGGUCGGAGGUUCGAAUCCUCUCGCCCCGACCA
This 77-nucleotide transfer RNA is filed under the name Candidatus Omnitrophota bacterium. RNAcentral's name for it is "Candidatus Omnitrophica bacterium tRNA-Pro". It matches the Rfam family "tRNA". From Rfam's summary of the family: Transfer RNA (tRNA) molecules are approximately 80 nucleotides in length. Their secondary structure includes four short double-helical elements and three loops (D, anti-codon, and T loops). Lineage: Bacteria; Pseudomonadati; Candidatus Omnitrophota. The record is from RNAcentral.